Molecule: long non-coding RNA, 1200 nt
Organism: Salvia miltiorrhiza (redroot sage)
Lineage: Eukaryota; Viridiplantae; Streptophyta; Magnoliopsida; Lamiales; Lamiaceae
Exons: 3
Source: RefSeq, a predicted model, not a curated record
AGGAAAGUGUAGAGAUUUGAGAGAGAAAGAAGAGAUUAGAGUGAGAAGAUGCAUUAAUUGCAUAUAUUCUCUAAGAUUUUCAAAUCUUAGCCAAGAUCAAUUUCAUAUCUUGCAAAUAUUUCUCUCACCUUUCCUCCACCCCAUUUUCGAUCUCUCUCCCUCUCCCUCAUCUCUCACUUCACUUUCCUCCAUUGUUAGCCAUUGAUGAAACCUUCGAAGCUUCACCCAAGUAUGCCAAACACAUAAAUCACUACUUAAAUCCUCCAUAAACACAUCCUAUUAACUUGAAUUCAAGAGAAUCCUUAAAGGAAGGCUUCAAGACUAGAGAGAGAAAGUUUGAGUUUUGGUGAAGAACUUGAACACGAGCAGAGCAAGGAAGUAAGUAACUCCACUUUGACGGGAGUUUUUGAGUAAGGUCUUCAGGCUAAGCGAGGAGUGAGAUUGGUCUGGUGCUGGUGGGGAAUCGUUAGAUGACGUAUUUGCUUUAUCGUAUUUUCUUUUUAUCGAUAAAGUCCCGAUGUGAAGUUACUUUGAAUAUGAAUCAAGUAAUAUACUCACGGUUAUGUGUCUCCAUACAUGUAACUGGUUCGCCUUUUGCUGCGAUACUCUGCAUAUUAUGUUUCCUUAUGAAAAAUAAGCUAUACCUGUUUUGUUUUUGUUCGUGAAAUUCCUGAUAAUUAAAAAGUUAUAACGACGUUGACGAUUUUACCCUUGGGUUCAAUUGAUAAUAUUUUCCUUAGCAUGCUUUGAUGUGAGCUUCCGCUUGAUGUUCGACCUACUCUUCUAUUCCUUUAUUCUUUAAAAAUAGUCGUAUCGAUACUCGUACCCCACUAUCACUAGUGUCGGGAUUUCGGGCUGCGACAGGGUGGUAUCAGAGCAGGUCAUCUGCUCUGAGUCUAUUGCUUGACUGAGUUGAACCUUUGAUUACUGGUAUCUUUUUAACUUGAGUACUAGUCUAAUUUGAAUUCUUAGGCUAGUUUGAGAGAGUCAGUUUGAAACGAAACCCCAGCACCCCAUCUCCUCCGGCUUAACGAGGUAAGAGGUUGAUGUUGUUUCUUAUUGCUUUUCUGUUAAAAGCUGAGUUUGGGUUACUAAUGAGUUAUGAAUUGUUUUGAUGACGGAAUUAUUUGAGAUGAUGGAAUCUGAUAUGAGGCAGUUGAUGUGGAAUAUGAGGAGGAAUGUUGAGGCUAGUAUAGCCGA